AUCAAUUCACAGCCUUUUGGCCACAACCAAGUAUGGUAUUUGUUCUUUUUAGUUUAAUAUUUGAUGUCGUCUGAGGGCAAUAUAUUAAAUGGAAUUGGGGGGCUGGGAUUUGGAAUAGGGACCUGCUUCAUGCAUUCGGUCCAUGGACCUGGUAUUGCAGUACUGGCAUGAUCAUAGCAUCAAAA
Onychomys torridus (southern grasshopper mouse) is the source of this 185-nucleotide small nuclear RNA. RefSeq annotates it as U2 spliceosomal RNA. The transcript has a single exon. Lineage: Eukaryota; Metazoa; Chordata; Mammalia; Rodentia; Cricetidae. The record is from RefSeq and is a predicted model, not a curated record.